UGAAGAUGCUCCAACAGAGGAGCAACAAGAACAACAACAACAACAAGCGCCUCUGUCUGGCUCGGGUGACACCAGACAACGCUGAGCCAACAGGAGCAGAUCAAAGAUGCUCAGAGAUCUUAGAGAGAGAGGUGAUCAGAAGAAACGCGCUGCGGAGCACAAGGUCGGCCUUGUCUGCGGGGGCCAGGGGUCACAGGAUCUGAGCCCUCCUGAGAGAGAACUCACCUUGUUGCAGGAUUUUGCCGAAGUACUUGUUGUGGCUGGUGCAGUUCCAGCGGCGGAAGCGGAACUGGAACUGACACUCCCUCACGCCCAGCCGCGCGCCCUUGGCCACCUCGCGCACGAUCUCCGGCUGAGUCUGGCACAGCUCGGCGUGUUUGCCCGUCAGACGCUUGGCCUUCCUGCAGAUGCUGUUGGGGUCCAUCACCAGCGGGCUGCCCACCGCCCUGCACACAGAGUCACAGCACAGUCAGACGUCACACACUGGAGAGGAGUCCAGCGCCUCACAGAUCCUGCUUCCACAGCAAGGAGGCGUGGCCCUGGUGAUCCAGGACACAGAGGAGGACGACCAACCUAAGAAGUCGCUCAGAUGUCUAACUGCCAGUCGUCUUCAAACCUGACGCUCCUCCAACGUGACCACAGAACCAUGGAGUGAUCCCUGUCUGCACCGCAGAGCUAACACAGUCGACAGAGGUGAUACCGCUAACACAGCUAACAGAGCUAACACAGCCGACAGAGCUAACACAGCUGACAGAGCUAACACAGCCGACAGAGCUAACAGAGGUGACACAGCUAACACAGCUAACAGAGCUAACACAGCCGACAGAGCUAACACAGCUGACAGAGGUGACGCAGCUAACACAGCCGACAGAGCUAACACAGCUGACAGAGCUAACACAGCCGACAGAGCUAACACAGCUGACAGAGCUAACACAGUCGACAGAGCUAACACAGCCGACAGAGCUAACACAGCUGACAGAGGUGACGCAGCUAACACAGCCGACAGAGCUAACACAGCUGACAGAGCUAACACAGCCGACAGAGCUAACACAGCUGACAGAGCUAACACAGCCGACAGAGCUAACAGAGGUGACACAGCUAACAGAGGUGACGCAGCUAGCGGAGCUAACACAGCCGACAGAGCUAACACAGCCGACAGAGCUAACACAGCUGACAGAGCUAACACAGUCGACAGAGCUAACACAGCUGACAGAGCUAACACAGUCGACAGAGCUAACACAGCUGACAGAGCUAACACAGUCGACAGAGCUAACACAGCUGACAGAGCUAACACAGCCGACAGAGCUAACAGAGGUGACACAGCUAACAGAGGUGACGCAGCUAGCGGAGCUAACACAGCCGACAGAGCUAACACAGCCGACAGAGCUAACACAGCUGACAGAGCUAACACAGUCGACAGAGCUAACACAGCUGACAGAGCUAACACAGUCGACAGAGCUAACACAGCUGCCAGAGCUAACACAGCCGACAGAGCUAACAGAGGUGACACAGCUAACAGAGGUGACGCAGCUAGCGGAGCUAACACAGCCGACAGAGCUAACACAGCCGACAGAGCUAACAGAGGUGACGCAGCUAACAGAUUAACAUUGCUAACACAGCCGACAGAGCUAACAGAGGUGACGCAGCUAACAGAUUAACAUAGCUAACACAGCCGACAGAGCUAACAGAGGUGACGCAGCUAACAGAUUAACAUUGCUAACACAGCCGACAGAGCUAACAGAGGUGACGCAGCUAACAGAUUAACAUUGCUAACACAGCCGACAGAGCUAACAGAGGUGACGCAGCUAACAGAUUAACAUAGCUAACACAGCCGAGAGAGCUAACACAGGCGACCAAGGCUAAUAGAGCUAACACAGCAAACAGAGCUAACACAGCUGACAGAUCUAACACAGCCGACAGAGCUAACAGAGGUGACGCAGCUAACAGAGCUAACACAACCGACACAGCUAACACAGCCAACAGAGCUAACAGAGGUGACGCAGCUCACAGAUUAAUAUAGCUAACACAGCCGAGAGAGCUAACACAGGCGACCAAGGCUAAUAGAGCUAACACAGCGAACAGAGCUAACACAGCUGACAGAUCUAACACAGCCGACAGAGCUAACAGAGGUGACGCAGCUAACACAGCUAACAGAGCUAACAGAGCUAACACAACCGACACAGCUAACACAGCCGACAGAGCUAACAGAGGUGACGCAGCUAACAGAUUAACAUAGCUAACACAGCCGAGAGAGCUAACAGAGGUGACGCAGCUAACAGAUUAACAUAGCUAACACAGCCGAGAGAGCUAACAGAGGUGACGCAGCUAACAGAUUAACAUAGCUAACACAGCCGACAGAGCUAACACAGCCAACAGAGCUAACAGAGAUGACGCAGCUAACAGAUUAACAUAGCUAACACAGCCGAGAGAGCUAACACAGGCGACCAAGGCUAACAGAGCUAACACAGCGAACAGAGCUAACACAACCGACAGAGCUAACACAGUGAACAGCGCUAGUAAAGCUAACAGAGCUAACAGAGCUAAUGAAGCUAACAGAUCUAACGUGACGUCGCACCUCAGAACUUUAUUGUCACUCGUAAACUAAAAUUUGCUUCGUGGUUGGCUAAAAACUAAAUGCAGGACCAAACAAAUUUGAAGAAAAAUGAAGAUGGAAAGAAGCACUGCAGUUAUGAAGCUGAGGCAAAGAAUGUCUGGAAAUCUCCCAAACGAGACUCAGCCAGUUGUUUUUCCUUGACCUGUAGAACCAACUCAGAAGCUGCCUGACCAUCGCAGGUGAGAUUGUGGUCAACAGACAUGAACACCCCCUGACCUCUGUGUCACCACCCGAGCCCCGGCUGGAGACAGAUCGACAGCAUUUUCCUUCUGUAAAUAACACGGCACAACAGCCGAGAGUCAGCGGCUAAAUAUUUUCACAAAUGAAAAGGGAUCUUCUCCGGGACUUUGGACUGAGCACCAGUGACCUUUGACCCAGGUUCCUCAUGAACCAAGUGAGUCGUGGCUUGUUCAGGUCGAAGACGCUGCUUUAGUGUGCGACCACUAGGUGGCGAGGGUCGCGUGGUUCGGUCCAGCACUGCUGAUGCCUCCCGAGCCGGCAAAGGCCCCUGCGGGAGCCGGCACAUCAAAGGCCAGGAGCUUGUGAUGGAAUCACAGAGCCAAGUGAUCCUCACGCUGAGCUCCAUAAUCCCGCUCGGACGGAGGUCUUGAUGAGAGUCAGCUGAGGUGAGCUGCUGCAGAUAUGGCCAAACAUGGGGCGCGGGAACAGGAGUCUUGUCCUUCUUUGGAGAUGGGUCCGCGGCACAUUGGAGGCGGAAGGAGACCUGAACCCUCUCACCACAGUUGGACCAGAAGAUGCCGCAGCUCAGACAUGAAGAAACCUCAGGUGGUGACCUCGGCCUGACCCCGGGUGGGUUCUGGUUCUGGUUCUGGACCGGUGUUAAUUGGAUCACAGCGACACGUCAACAGCGAGGAGCAGCUCUGGGAGCCCAGCUCUCCAGUGAGGACCAGACGUCGGCUGGACCGGACCUGAGGUGCCCAAGAGGUCUGCGCUCAGAACCUGACGCUGAAGAGACGGUGGAACCUCUCGCUCUCCUGUGACCUUCAGGUUCUUCUCCCACUGAGCAUCAGGACCUUCUCCAGUCAGGGUCACGCUCUCCAGGGAAUGGCCGUCGCCUGUGUCCUCUCCUGACCCCUGAACUCUCAGGUGACCUCUGCAGACAGGAUCUUCUGCUCAGCCCAGUGCUGAGUCACGUUCCCACACUCAGCUUCCUCCCCUCAGCUCUCCCUCACAACUCCUCCACCUUCUCCUCCAGUCUCUUGUACCGUGAAUAGCUCAUUCACUCUUUCAUCCCUGAACAAGGUCACGUGGGGAUCCCAGCUCCACAGGGCAAGAGGCAGGGGACCCCCUGAGCAGAUCCCCAGACGAAUGUAGCUCCAGCUGCCACAGACAGAACUGGUGAUAGAACCGUGGGUGUCACAGAGACACUCCCCAGUGAGCUGAGCAGAAGGGAGGCGGAGCCACUGGGGUCGGCAGGCGGGCGUCACGGCGACCACGGAGGUAAACACCAGCGCCGCCUGCAGCUGGGGUCUCCCGUGGAAAAUAAAUAUUUAGGCUUGGACUUGCUUCGGUGGAAAACAGAGGCGGAGACGUGGCGGACGCUGUGUUUACUGGAGCCGCGACAGGUUUGGUUCUGGACGCCACAGUGGACCCAGCCUCAGCUCAGAUGUUGGUUUCCUGAGGGGGCCGCUGAGGAAAACUCUGAGCUAGGGCCGUGACGCUUCAGACAAGACCCACUCAAUACCAGACCCAAACCGCACUGCAACGGCCGGAGUGGGUUCAUCGACCGGGCGGUGGUGGAGGCAGUCAGGGAGACACCAGCCUUGGAGAAGAAGCAACGGAGCCGUGGGCUGGAGGGAGCAACUCUCACGGUGACCUUGAGAGUUUGACUGAUCAGGAGCCAGAACAUGAGCUCUGAGGCGGAGAUGAAGUGGGACAGAAACCGACACAACAGGGUGGCCCUCAGCAGUGCAGCGCGCCACGCUCGCUGUCGGCCCGGGACCAAGAUGGAGGAGCAGCAGCUGAGGGCCGUCAGCUCAAGUGCCCACUCUGGAGCUGAUAACAAGUCUCUGAUCUGGCUGCUCCACCGCCUGCUAUUAUUAGCCUCCACUCGAUGCUAAUGGCACACACGGGGACCUGCUAUCUCCUGCUGUGGCGGGUCCAGGGUCCGCUCCAGGAGGCCGCACAGAGCCGCUGGUGUUCCUCAGACUGGACCGAGCAGGACGCUGGCCGUCCCUUCACUGAGGCGAAGACAAGGAGGGGCAGGUCAGGAGGACGUGUGGUGACCUUGACCCGGUCUCUGGUGGACCGGCGAGAGAGUCCAGGCCCAUCAGAUGAACUGACCACCAGCGGCUGAGUGAGACUGGUGUGUGUCUCACUCUCACAUGCGCGCCACUCAUGUCUGACCAAUCGGAACACAGCUAGAAGGUGAAAAACAAGACUCUGAUUUGGGCUCACUGGAGCUGCGCUGAAGCCAGCAGGGUCGCCCCGACUCUCCGAGCGGAGUCAUGUGACAGAGACCGGGAGCAGAGCUGGCCUCCAGCCCUGUGCCACCGGGGGGCGCUCAUGAGCGCCUCUCUCCUCUGCCACACAGCGCAUCAUCUGGCUGCACGUCUUCGUCAAGUUCAUCUGGCGGCGUGCCUCCACACACACACACACACAGCCCAGAGCGCCACCUGAUGCCAAAGCCACGUCGUCAUCUUUAUCUGGGCCCAUCUCCGCGCCGCUGAUUAAACAGCUCUCCAGCCCAGAGUGGAGCGACAAGAUAGGAUCUGCGUGUGUGAGUGUGUCGGGCCCAACCACAAGCUCCGUGCACUGCAUGUUUAAAAGAUUAGCUGUGUGUGUACUGGUUCAGCUGUUCCUGUGGGGACCUGCUGCCGAGCCCCCUCCACUGUGGGCCUCAGGAGUCAAACCUUCAGAGGAGCCGGGUCUCAGUCUGCUCCAGAGUCCUGGUUCAGGUGAGCCGUGAGAGGCUGGGGGAAGGGUGGCGGCCUGGACAGGAGGUCCUCACAAGGUCGGUGCCGGCACAGCGGUCAGCGCCAGACACGCGCGGCCCUCUGCUCAGCAGCAGCAGCAGAGGAGCGAAGACAUUCCUGCAGCUCGGAGCCAAGUGAGGGCAGCUAUCUCCAGCCUCUCAUCCCCUCCCACAUCCUCAGCUGGUGGCUCCAGACCAGCCCAGAUAGUGGAGCGGGGGAGUCCACACAGGGCCCCAUUGUCCCGGGCCGCAGGUGUGGGGCGGCCAGUGACAACAGAUGACAACGCCUGUCAGUGAGGAUGAGAAGGAAGUGGCCGGUUCGGUUGCGUUGAUCUCUCUAAUCCGCUGAAGCGUUAUUGGACUGGCACGCACGGAGACAGACAGAGGACGGGAUUGUUCCUCCGGCCUCCACCGUCCCCGGGACAGCAGCUCUUCAUCACACGUCCACCUGAGACUGUGCUCCUGGGCCAGCACCACCAAUCACCUGGGGCGUAGCUGGGAAGGGUCCCAUCAGUGGGCGGACAUGGGGCGCACCAGCCCAGCCACAGGUCUGCAGUCUGACGCCACCGUCAGCCUGAGCCUCAGUGUGAGGGACCCUGUCCACCUACCCUCUCUGAUCACUCCAGGGCCACAGAACAAAGAGUGGUUCCAUCGCCAUCUGAUUUAUUUCAACGUAACAUCAAAGAACAAUAGAAGCAGAUUUGGUUCCGUUGCCUUCACACACGACGUUUCAUGGCAGUUGGACUCGAGGUGAAUAUCAGGGCCUCAGCGACCAGUCGGUGGCUUGUGAAUCAGAACCGACCGGUGUCGAGUCACUCGCUCGUAUCAGCAGCUAACAAGUCCGCGGCGGCUCCAGCCAACGCAUCUUUUGUGAGGGAUCGCUGUUAAAGGCCGGUGUUGGCCGUAACUGUGGCACUGUUUGUUUGAAUGCGAGCCGUCUUCUUCUACUGGUCUGGCUGAUGCAUGUGCCCCGCUCGCUGCUGCCCCCUGCAGUAGCAGAGGAAGCACUGCACAAACAAGCGCCUCGCUAGUUAAACUACACCGAAUGAUGAACAGAUUUCUGCUUCUAUAAAAGACGACAGGAGGCGCUGGGCUUUCUCUGCUACAUGUCAGACGCGGUCAACCACCCACAGUUGGGCUCCACUUGACUUCUCUCUGCAGAGUUCCUUCAGAAUCAGCACCUUCUUCUCCUGUUAGUAGCUGUGUGGAAGAGGCAGGAUGUCAACAGUGGGUUGGAUGAUCGGCCCAAGAGCUUCAGGGCCACUUCGCCUGAUGUAACCCUUCAAACCCUGAACUGUCGCCCACAGAAAGGAGAGCGUCUGCACCUCCUGCUCUCACGUCACGACACGACAGAAGUGUUUCCACAUGGGGCUCUGGACACAGCGCUGAGGAGGCCCUGCCUCACAGCUGCACCUCUGACUCGGCAGCGACAGAAACUGGUGCCAUCACAGCUCAGCUCCGUCUGAGCGGGGCUACAACAUCACAGCGCUGCGAUCCCGGCGGCGUGCGAUUGUGACGCGGAGCUGAGGGGGAACUCAGAAACUCCUGACGAGUCUCGAUGCUCAGCUCUCCGGAGCGACGUCCCGCCCGCGACUCACCGGAGCCGGGUCCAGAGUGAAGUCCGCCUCAGCAGGAGCGAGAGGAGCGGCGGCCCGGGCGCAGCAGCCCACACCGAGCUGCACUGAAUGGACCGUGGGAGGAUUCUGGAGAGGAACAUGACAAAGCUCCGCAGUCAGGCCUGCGAGAGGGGAGCGCGCGGCGUUAUCAGCGCAUCUGCCUGCACACGGCACAUGCCCUGCGCCCAGAGGGCCACCUGACAUUCCUGACCCUGACUCAAACACACACAGAGCGGUCUCCUCUCCCGGGGGGCACGCCGCCACCCCGAGACCCAUCCGCCGAGCCCGAGCGGAGCCGCGCCGCCUCGCGCGACGGAGUCGCUUUUGUAAGUCACCAACAUGAGUAACCCAAGCUCGGCGCGCCAGACUCGGUCGGUGCGCAGUCAACAGAGCGUCCGCGAGCGUCGGGACUCACCACCACAGGCCGAUGAUGUUGACCGGACACAGCAGAAUGAAGAACAGCGCCAGGUGGAUCCGCGAGUGUCGAGCCGUCAUGGUGCGGCUCUGGAGAAAGUCACGACGAGAACCGCUGCUGGCGGCGGCUGAAGCGAAGUCUC
Long non-coding RNA from Synchiropus splendidus (mandarinfish), 7722 nucleotides. RefSeq lists it as uncharacterized. The record is from RefSeq and is a predicted model, not a curated record. Lineage: Eukaryota; Metazoa; Chordata; Actinopteri; Syngnathiformes; Callionymidae. The transcript is spliced from 3 exons.